RNAcentral lists this microRNA (23 nucleotides) under Mus musculus (house mouse). RNAcentral's name for it is "mmu-miR-6907-3p". The record is from miRBase by way of RNAcentral. Lineage: Eukaryota; Metazoa; Chordata; Mammalia; Rodentia; Muridae.
AACGUGCGUUUCUUUUGUGUCCU